Corvus hawaiiensis (hawaiian crow) is the source of this 9049-nucleotide long non-coding RNA. RefSeq lists it as uncharacterized. The transcript is spliced from 4 exons. Lineage: Eukaryota; Metazoa; Chordata; Aves; Passeriformes; Corvidae. The record is from RefSeq and is a predicted model, not a curated record.
UUAAGCGCCCACAGUUUGUUUAAAACAGAGGAAGGCAUUAUAAAAGGUCCAUUGGUCUCCAGAAGUUCAGCCAAGCAGCUGGGAACCGGCUCCAAAAUGAAAGUAAGAACAAACAAACAAACAUAAAAAAAAUAAUCAAGGCAAACAAAAAGUAAAAUUGCAGCAUGCAGCAGCAGCGCAGAGAUCUUGCAGUCGAGCUUUCCUGCUCUCACGUGGAUCUCCAGGAAAGUGGUGUAGGUUUAUUUUCCAAGCGAAGUUUCCGCGGGAGCCACCGCCCCGCUCCGCGGUGUCCUGCCUGGCCUCGCCCGGCCCCGCCGCGCUUCAGCGCCGAGGCGCCCCGAGCUGCCGCCGGCUGCGCGGGGCCGGGUUUUGUUUUAAAGCUCGAGAAGGGAUCAGCGCGCAAAGCCUCAUUUCAGCCGAUCAACCUGGAGAGGGAGGAGGAGGGGUGGAAAUACGUGCUGCUGGAUUAAAUAAGAUCAAGCGGGAAAAAAAUUUAUAUAUAUAUAUAGGUGGCUAGAGAUCUCCCUGCCUGCCUCCUCCCCUCCCCCGAGACUGGCAGCUCCGAUCCUGCAGAAACGCCUGAGACUGUUUCUGACCAAGCCCAAGAAGUGGAAUGUACAACAUGCAAUCCUCAACACGCCAGUCUCCCAAGUGAGGAGAUUAUUAGAGCCUCUGCGGUGGGAGAUUAACCCUCCCAGCAAGAAAGCUGGAGGCUUUUCAGCUCUUCCUACACAAAAAAGAAACAACCAAAACCAAAAAAAACUUUGAAAAAAGGACAAGUAUGUACCAAAGACAAUCACAGAACUAAAAAAAAUACAUAUGAAACAUCGUUGCUCACACCUCCUCCUCAUUCUUUGGCUAUCUGUCUGCUGCUUAGGCCUCCAUCUAGCGUGGAGUUUUAGGUGGGUGGACACAAUGGGCUUAUUCACAAACAUCAAGCUCAGCACAUGCCUACGGCUUUGAUGGCUGAAGACCAUGGUGGGUCAGCUGCUUGGGACCAGGACUCGUGGGACUUUUCAGAAGGCUAAAACAGAGAAGUUCUGCAGAAGCUGGUUACCUUCCUGCUUUAUCUCCUGAUACACAUAUUCUCUCUGAGGUACCUAGAGCACUUCUGAAACAGCCGUAGUUACGUUUAAGUAUUUUCACAUUCCCCAAGUGCUCAUUCUGUAGGGAAAUACUGAAGCUGAAAGCACAUUGUGACAAAUAAAGUGUCUACAGUAACAAACAUGCAUAUACACAGUCAUAACACUAUACUGAGUAAACCAUAUAAACUAAAAUUAAACUUUCAAAGUUAAAAAUCAAGCACUCAUGAUCUUAACAGCAGUGAGCUCACCAGAGAAACCGUAUUUCUCCCUUCUCUCCUACAUGUACUCAUAUAUUAUGAAAGUUGCUCAUUGCAUGUUCACAUACAAUUUUUUUCUACAAACCUCUGUGCUUAAUUAACAAAAAGCCCUUCAAUGUUAUGUUUUCUCUUUUAUUUUUGAAAGCAUGCCCCAUGCUUUAUUCAUUACUCAUUUAUUCAGAUCCUAUUCUGCAUACAGAGUUAUUAACUUCCUCAUGGGCAUUUUAUGGAGCUUGUUGUUACAGUAUUCAUGGGCUUCAAAAAUAUUAACUGCUUUAGUUUCAUCAUACACCUCUCAGAUGAAGGGGUAUUGUGACAGGAUACGAAUAUUACAUUUGGGAAACAGUUAUAGAUUGCCUGGUUUGAUAUUGUACUUGGCACUAUAGAAAACCUUAUUUCUUCAAGGCCUGGUUCCCACUGCUUUCAGUUGUAGUAAUUUUACUCACUGACUAACUACCUCUAAUCAAACCCUGGAGUUUUCAAGCAUCUGAAAAUGAGAAGCAAAUUAUCAAGAAGUGUAAUUUAAAAGCCCUGAACCAGCUCGAUCAAGGAACUCUGUGGCAGAGACAAGAGCUAAGACACAAAUUUCAAGCUGUUCAGCUCUCUCAAGAAUUUUGCCACCGCUUCUCUUCCCAUAAUUCUUUUUCUUCAAUGAUUCCUUCAGUUUCUAGAAUAAACAUGGCCAGACUCCUGCCAGCAACAGCCCCAUCAUUAAUGAUAUCCACAUAAUUCAUCCACUGCUUUGAAUCUUCUUCUCCUCAACACAGUACCUGUUAGCAUGAAUAUGUCAUGCUGUGUUUGGCCAGGCAUUUGAAAAGAUGUGUCUCUCUUCACCACUGGAUUUCAUGGUUAUUACUGGCAGAAGAGGGAAUCUUGGGAUCCCUUCCAAACUCUGGGAGAGGGUGUUUUUAAAUAGCACACUCCCAUCUGCUUGCUUCCCAUGUCCAUGCUUUGCCUUAUCUUGGCUUGUUAUUUCAAACCUGUCUCCAGUCUCUCUUCAGUCUUGGCUGAUCCCACUUCUGUUUUUCUUAUCUAGUUAAUGCUGGUGUUUGAUUCUCAUCCCAGUUCCAGCUGCCCUAGUUGUACUUUUCUUUAAUCUUGUUCUGGUACUUCUCACUCUCAGAUUCAUCUUCAGCUAUGCAGGGUCCUUUUGUUGUUGUUUUGUUUUCACUCCCUUUAUCUAGUUGAUCUUUCUCUUAUGUCUCCUCUCCCGAUUUAACUUUUAGUUGUGUUAACAUCCACCCCCCUUGUCUAUUCUUUACUCCAGGUGUGCACCACAAAGCUGGUCUUGCUCCUUGACCGUAUUUCCCAGCUGCAGAGGGAAAGUCCUCGCUCCAAUCCUUACACUGCUAUUCAGGCAGUUUUUGCUUGUCUGCUGCCUUCCAUCUACCUCUUCACUCUGUUACUUUUCAGGCAUGGUUUCCUUAUGCAAAAAAUGUGGUUGUCCCAAAAUACAUCUAUUAUUCCCAUUGCUAAUUUCUCCUAAUCACACCCUACAUUCUUUCUCAGGAGCUUUGUGCGGACUCUACCAUGCUGCAAGAUCAGUUUUUCCUCCCCAUCUAUUCAAGUGAGACAACCUUCCCUUCUCCAUCCCACAGGUUUGACUGAGGUGGCUUAAGCAUCCGAAAUUAUUGCUUCUUCUCAAUUAAGUUACAGAUCCAAGCAAGGCACUGCUUAAAAUGAUCAUGUUAUAUAUCAUUGCAGGUGAGACACUCAGGUAAGAGAGCUGCUAAAACUGCUUCUAUUCAAGGCUGGCUGUGGUGAUGUGUAAGUCCAUACCAAUGCUAACAGAAAGAAAAAGGAGGAUCCUUGUUGGAGCUCACAGGGAACCAGAAAGACCUACACCUUCUUUACAGGGAGAAGAAAAAGAAAGACAAAAUAAAUUAUUGAAAUAUUGACUCACUAAUACUUCUAAACCCAGUAUUUUUGCUGUUUGGAUUACAGCAAUAGGGGCUCAGUUUUACAAGGCUUGUUCUAACUCACACAUGCUCUUUCCCAGAAUGGUUACUACAACGGGACCAUUCAGCUGUUUACCAACAAAUGAACAAAACUUGUAGCAAUGUACACAAAUAGGUAAGAAUGAUUGUCAUUAUAAUCUCCCCAUAUAAACAUUGCCUUUGCAUCAAAAUAAUUCUGUCAUUAGCUGGAAAGAGAUGAAGGUCUUCUUUACCUAUAGAAAUACUAUUGUUCUACUUAUGACCUAAAUGGCUCAGAGUUCCCUGCAGCUACCCUGACUCCGUAGAAAAUCAUACCCAUGUCUUCUUCCUACGCUGCUGUUGUACUGACAUAUUCCUGCAGCAAGGAGCCCAGCCUUUGUUACAUGCAAUGGAAUCCUCACGACUUACACAGUCAGUGAGAUUUCACACUUCAUUAGAGGCUAACACACACACUUACAUAAGGGUAAAGGCUGGGCAAGGCAUUGUAGUACCAAAAUCUAAAGCAUGUCUUAAAAGAGGUUUCUGGACGUUCCCUUAAUCAAAGUGUUCAAUGCUCAGGCAUUCUUUGGAAUCAGCAAAUUAAUUCUAGAGUUGAUUAAUAUGGUUUUGUCCUGGUGUUUUCUUCAGUGCAGCACAGAGAUGCCCAAAAACUUUUAACUAAAUACCUUGAAAAUACUAAGCAGUUUAGCAAAAUAUCUUUAGGCAGCUGUUGCAGUCAUCUACCUCUAGAAAACUUAGUGUUUCCACAUUACCCAAACACCUUGAUUAGGCUGAGCAAAGGCAUCUGGAAAACAGUUAGCAAAGCUGCUGAGAAAAGGAGGCUUUCAGCCCACAUCUUACAUAAUUGCUUCUGGGAGAAUAUUUUCCACUGUUUGGUGCCUGGGUGCAAUCUGUGAUGAAAGUAAUAAGAAAGGGAAAGGAAAAGUGGACAAAAAGGGGAAAGAAAGGUAGAAGUUGAAAUGGUAUCAUAAACAGCACCCUACCACAUUAUUAGUUUUUCAAAUAUUUUUUAGAAUAUCUGUGAUUAUUUAUAAUGAAUAAGUUAACUUGGGAAAUGAAUUAGCAUAGACUACCUACAUGGUGCAUCUAGGACAAGCAUAGUUAUUUUUAGUUAAGAUGUAAUUUUUAUAUCUCACUAUUUGGAUGAAUGUCCUCUUUGGUCUUUGAAUUAGUGUUUGGCCCACCCUAAAUACUACGAGUACUUUCCUCUUUGUGGAGCUUCUAUUGUGUUCUUCCACAAUAGAAAGGAAAUGGGGGAAGAAAGAGAAAGAAGGCUGGCCACAAGGCUGACCACAAUGAGACUGGCCAUGCUUUCAGCUGGGACACUAACACUUAGAGAUAGAAAACUUCUUGGCAUGAUUAUUUCCCCUUACAUAAUUUCAAAAUGGAAGUUCCUGAAGGUAUCUCUUGUAGACCUAUUAGAGGGAGUGAUUUUAAGAAAAAAAGAGAAAAUAUUUCACAAGUAACGAAUCCCUACUUUCAAAGCAUGCAUGCACGUUCAGUAUCAGAACAGUCAGGCAACUCUUUAAAAUCUUCAACAAUAUUUUAUAAUACUCCUUAAUUUUUAGCCCAGCAUGCAGACAUUUUGUUUGACAUUUCCAAAUCUGGGUUCUGUCUUUUCCUACCUCCAGCAGAGAAGAGCCUUAAGACAUAUUUGCUUUUCCCUCUGAACAUUAUUUCCCACUUCUUUUAAACAUUAAGAAAUUGUCUUCAAUUAUAAAGAUUCUGUAAUACAGAUGAAAAAGUCCCAUUAGAAAAUGGUGCAGAAUCGAAGGUAAAAUGAGUCUUCAGCUCUCCCAAAACUAAGCAUUCAUCCUCAUUGGUUUUUUUCCUUAUGAUCAGAAACCAGCACAGGAAAUCAUCCACAGGUAAUAUAUGCUCCUUGCAUCUAAAUUAAACUUGCCUACUCUUUUCAUCUUUUCUAAAUGCAGCAAAACUUUUACCAGAAAACCUGUUCAGUAAAUACAACGGUAAAUAUUCCUACAGCUCUGGAACAUGAACAUCUUCACUGCCCUGCCUGGCAAGGGGUGCACUAGGGCCUGCAGGGGUACAGCCUGACACGAGAGACCAGAGUCACAGUCAAGAGCACCAGAGCAGGAAAUAGCCUUUUUACAACUCAUUGUUAUCUCCCCACCGGCUUCUUCCAGGCAAAACAAGCAAAUGAGCUACUUCAGGAUUAGAUCUGGGAGCACAGUGCAAGUAAAAUUGUAUCGCUGGUAACUGAGUUUUCCUCAGAAACAUGUUCGAGGAUGACAAGGAAGAAAAAGGAGGCACAUUGAGGCCAAGCACCAGUUUUGAACAGUUGCAGAGCUGACACCACAAUAUCCUCAAGGAGAAAAUGGAUUAGGCAGGAGGCUCUUCAGCAUGCAGCAACAGACCAGCUCUGUCUGCAAUAAAGAGCAUUCACAUGGCUAAGAAAUGAAAAUUAUUAUAAUGACAAAUACAUAUUCCCUUUCACCUAUGGGCAUAGUAAAGGACAGCAAAAAAUGAGAAGGUUUAUUUUCAUUUUAUAGUUUUAAAAAGUUAUUUUACAAGUCCGUGUAACUGGAGGAUACUAAUACUGUGUGUGUAAAAGCAUCUAGAAUAUAAUUAAAACUAGUACUAAUUACUGUAUAAAUUGUGAUCCUAUCCUUAUGACUGUAUGAGUAAAACGUUUAUAGUCAUUCUUGAAGGCACUCUGUAUCAGAAACAUUUCUCUUCCUUAUCCACAAAUUAUACAGAUAUAUCAGUUUUGCAUAUUAAAUUUGAGAACUUAUAAAUAAAGAGAAACUGCAUUAAAUCAGUAACAUGCCAAAUAUCAAUAUGUCAUUUUGAUUAUUUCAUGCUCAGUAAGUACAAUAUCUCUAGACCUUAUAGUGUUUAUUAAAGGUACUUUUACUUCAAAAGGGAUUCUCUUCCUUCCCUUUAUCUACUUACAUUAUCAAAAUGCCAUGAAUUCAAUAAAAUUUACCUUUAAUAGAUAAAUCUUAUUAAUCUAAAAACCUCAGAAUCUGCUCAUCUGUAAGGUAUUUUUGGAAAAUAAGAGGCUUCAGCAGAGCCUGGCAUAACUAUCAUCUGGGAAGCUACUCCUUUUGUAUGUUCCAUUCUUUUAAUAGAGAAUAAAUAAAAUGUAUCAAGCUAGCAGUGGCUGAAUGGAACAGAUGAAACAUCUGCCUUUGUGACAGAAUUGUAUUUUUAGAACUUGUGUCUUCAGCAUUGUUUUCUGUGACCAUAACAGACUUGGCUGAAAAAAGGAGAAGGAUAUGGGUUGAUCACCUCUAGGACGACCAGCAGCUAGGCCAGCCAACAAACCCCUUGGGGCCCUUGCUAUAUCUUUUAAUUAGAAGGACACCAGGACACUCUGUGGCAUGGUUACUACUUUUUCUCCUCUUCUAAGAAUAGCAGUGAGGAGAUUUAUUUUAGGGACCCAGUGCCACAGAAAUCAAAGACAAAGCAAAAACUUGAUUUCCUUUUUCUGUCUUACUUUGUUUUCAUGUGGACCACUGUGUGUGUUCUUCAAGUAUCUGAGAAUGCCUGGAGAUAUAAAGAAUAGUAAAUUUUUUUCUUACCACAGUAUCUUUUCCUGUCAGGCGAAGGUGAAAACUCAGCUCCAAUCAAGUUCUAAGAGAGAACAGAACAUCAUGGGUCUACAACAGAUACCAUUUUUCUCUCAUAGCCCCUGCUCCAUGUAUUAGAGAGCUCCCCAUAGAUCAAACCCCCUAACCAAGUUUUUGCCCCUCUCAGUUUUUCUCACUGUUUACAAUUCUCCCCAUAAGUAAGGUUUUAUUCUUUUUAUUCUGUAAAGGAGGAUCAUUCUUCCACAGAUGCUGCUAUCUCAAAAGCUGUGUAGAUUACGGGCUGCACUGCCACUUUGAAAAAUGUGAUGAGUAUCUGACCACCUGUCUGUAUUAUCUGUAAUCAAAAAUUUCUUGAAACUAAGAUCUCAACUCUAACAGUUUAUCAAAAAACUAAGUGAAAUUUACCUCUAUUUUUGUGAUUGUUUAUUGUUUGAGCUUUAGCUUUUACCACCCAAAAGCAAUUUAGUGAAAAAAAUUUCCCCAAAUCUGAACUACUUCAUAAAAGCCUUCAUAAAGACUCCAAAAUAAUACUUUGAUUGAGUUGAUCUGUGAUGCAACUGCUGACCACAUUAUGCCAGGUCUUCAUUAGAAUCACAGAAUGGCCUGAGUUGGGUGGGACCUUAGAGAUCAUCUAGUUCAAACCCACCACACCUGUGGAGAGGGGUGCUGCUCACUAGGUCAUAAAAUAAAAUACAUCAUAAAAUUAAAACCUGAGAGAUACAUUAUGUUAGCAGACAUUGGUUCAGCAGGCUGCCUCUUCAGAGGAUACACUGAAUAGAUGGAAUCUCUUAAAAAUAUGUUAUUCCCUGAAAGUGUUGGGCUUUGUGCAUGCAGCAUACUGUAAUCAAAUCGAGCCACUUCAAUGUUUAUUGUAUUAUCUAUAAUGCUAUGACUAGCAAAAUGCAAGUCCAUUAUACACUAGCAGUUCACGGACAGUAUCAGUCCUCUCAAAACUAGAAAGAUGUGUUUGGAAAGCCUGCAUGAAGGGAAACAAACAUCUCUAAUACAACUUUUGGCAACAAAUUUAAUAUGAAAAUGCAUUUUAAAUUGCAUUUAUAAUGAUGGAAAUUCCUGCUCACAAAGACAUAUUGUGCAGAGAAGCACAUAUUCCAUCUGCCUGGGCAACAUAAGGACUCUUAAUAUUGACUAGAGUGGAAUUCUGACUCCACCUCCUUUCUGUGGUCAGACUGGGCACCAACUUGGAUGAAACAGAGCAAAUUUCUUUUGUUUUGCCUUGUUUGAGAAAAAUAAAUGCAAAGUUGGUCUGUGGGGCUCCCAUCACAUGUUAGUCACCUGUGUAGCUUCUUUCAUUAAGAGUGAGCCACUGAGGAGUGAUUUCAAGAUAAGUUUUGGCAUUUACUGAGAGGACAGAGAUUUGUCCAGCAGUACAUACCCAGGUAGGUUUAGUGGCUUAGCAUGGGCUGCUUACAGGUAACUCAGGGGUCCAGUACCAUCCGCACAGACAGCUCAGGUGAAACACUGAAGGAGAAGGCAAAACAAGGUUACUGUCAGAGGUUAAAGGAGUAAGUCCAUGUACCCCAGAAGACUGAGUCAAGAGCAGAACCCAAAGGCAGGCAAGGUGGAAAACAGGCACAACACUGGGAAUCACUAAGAAAGUGUACAUGAGCCUGAAGCAAAGCUGGCCUAGUGGUCCACUGCAGGAGCUGGAUGGAAAUGGACCCUAUGAAGGGGGUACAGGUGAAGGAUCAGGAGACAGAACAAGGGCCACAGCCCAAGACCUUUGCCAGAUGACCACUGGUGUCUGCCUGUUAAUGCUGUGGCUUGAGGCAGGACCCUUUGUUUACUGGGUUUUUUGGCAGCCUCAGUAACCAUUAGCUUUUGCCCAGUUUUUUCCUUCCUCAUGUGCAUAGAAACUUGUCACAAAGUGACACUGUUAGAACAGUGUUGCAGAAAAGCAGUCAAAAGUUGGAGCUUGUCCACUGAUUGCAACUCACUGUAAUUUUAUAUACCGUAAAAUAUAAAACUUACACCCACAACCACCAAGCCUCAUACCUAAGAACAGAUAAUAUCUUUGGGAAAUGUCAUUAUAAAAUUAAAAAGUUUCUUAUAAGCAAAAACUGGGAUCAUAUAACAUUGCCUCUGGAGUUGCAUAACACAGGAUGUAUAAACCCAGAUAGUAUGUACAUAUUUUCUUAUAUAUCUAUUUUGCAGUUCUUUGUAUUCUAUUUCUAUGAUUAAAAUUUUUAUAGCAA